GCGAGAACGUGCACACGCGACUUCUUCGGCCGAUGGUGUUGCCGAGCAGCCGUCUUGGGAGUAGGGGGGGUCAGACAAGCGGCGUGGGUCUCAGCUUUAGCUGGUUGGAAAUCCCUGGCAAUGUGAUUUACAUUACAUCACAACAAAAUCACUCUGCCAGGAAUCCUUCCAGCUAAACCAACCGUUCGGGGGCCUCUGUGUGUGUCGGGUGGUGGGGGAGGCGAGCAGGGCGGAGGUGGAGGAUGGAGGAGAGAGCGACGGGUGGACGCGCGCACAACGACGAGAGAGCAGAUGCGUGUUGCGUUGAAAGAGGGUCACAGGAGUCAUUCAACGUGGUUACGGAGGCCUGUUUAGGAGCUGUGUGCGACUGUUGUCCACAGCUUUUGAUGACAGGUAGUUACACC
Molecule: long non-coding RNA, 404 nt
Organism: Gasterosteus aculeatus aculeatus (three-spined stickleback)
Lineage: Eukaryota; Metazoa; Chordata; Actinopteri; Perciformes; Gasterosteidae
Source: Ensembl